CUGAAAUACUACGUUUUUCUGGUUGUGAUGUCAGACAAUGUGUCGGGGCGGGCAUGCUGCUGUGAAAGGGCUCCAUGGUGCAGCUGAUGUGUGAACAGGCGUGAGCAAAAAGGGAAGAGUUGGGGAUAACAAGUUAUUAGUCAGAGCUGCAACCACGUCAGAGACGAGGAUUCACGGAGGACGUUGUGUCCCGGAUUGCCGUUAACGGAGCCGUGUGCCGCUGAACCGGGAUGACUAACUCCGUCGAUGUGUCUGCCGGCGUGUCAGAGGUCCAAUCAAAUCCUGCAUGCAUCCCAUCCGUCCAGGUCCAUCUUCACCUCCCCCAUUUCCCGUCUCGGUCCCAGCAUGGCUCUCGGAGGAGAGCGAUCCUGUCAGGACACUCGCAAAAGUAGGACUACGCUUUGAACCUUUUCACCUUUUGCUGCGUCAAGCUACAGAUUUUUAUGUUUUUAUGUUGGUCUAUUACAGCUUUCUUGUAGUAAACCAACACAAGACAGGAAAUAACUGUAAAGUGGAAGGAAAUUAUAUAUGGUUACAUUUUUGUUUUUUUUACAAAUAAAAUCCCACAUUUACAUACAUUACUAUUCUGGCCUCCUGAGUGAAUUCUUUGCAGAAUCAUUUCUCUGCAUUUACAGCUACGAGGCUUCUGGGGUUUGCUAUAACUAUCAUCUUUGCACAUCAAGGGACUGAUAUUUCGCCCAUUAUUCUUCGCAAGAUCAAAGAAUAAGCCCAAAUAACCCAAGAUCACAACACUUAAGUUAAUUUGGUUACAGAUACGGAGUAACUCGUAGAUUUUGUGUUUAAGAUUUUGUGAAAUAACAGGUCAGUGUCAGGAUUUGCGGUGUGAGGUGGUGAGGUAGACGCAGUGGACCCAGUUGAAAUGAAGAAGUGAUGAUUUUAAUGAAGAUUGUGAGAGAACAACAGUCCAAAGUCCAGGCAGCACAGAAAUGAGCGGAAGGCUAAGGCUCAAAAACUGGUAGCAACUGGUAAACAGUAGACAAAGAAUAAGGGGUGACAUUAAAAACACAGAGAGUAAUCAGGGAACGAGACACAGCUGGGAACAAUCAAGGGGUAGACAGGACAACGUGGAAACUCAAUUAACGGAAAACGACACAAAAACCUAACUUAACCCCCCCAAAAAACAAAACAACUCACAGUCAGAAUGCUUCUUAUUUUUUGACAUAUAUAGUUUAGGUUUAUAUGCUGCUCUUCAAAGGAGCAGCAUAUAAAUGGAAAGAUUUUUCUGCUUCCUACCCUGAACCUUUAGGGAAAACCUUUGAAAAUCUUCCUCCAAGGAAGCUACAACCUUUUGAUUCUGGGAUUUAUUUUCUCGACAGAAUAGUCCUUUAUUCACAUAAACAUCUUAAUUAUUAAAUCCUCUCUGAAUUAUGACAGAACAUACUUGUCAGCCAGCCAUCAGGUUUUAUGUAAACUGAGAGACGGAUGAUGAUGGACUUCAAACCGCACUUACGUACGAUGAGUGUACAAGCGUUCGUUGCGGCUGACAUGGUAUUCGAACUAUGAAUAAAAUUUGGAACGGGUUUUUUUUUGCUGCGGGGCCCUUACAGGAACGCAGGCACAGACGACUGACGACUGACGAAAGCAAUUUGAUGUUUAUGUUGGUGUAUUUUUCUGUGCGGGAUAAACACUCACUAUGUGCUCUGUAAUUGUUGUCACGGUGAGACAUUUGAUUAUGUACUUUUAAGGGAUAUUUUGUUUAAUAGAGUAAACACAUCAUCAUUCUGCCUGAAUGUUAGUUUAUAGUUUCCGUUCUUCUGAGGGAAAAGUUCGUGCAGAUGUUUAAAAUGCUAAAUUUAGUGCUAGAUUUUUAGUAGCCAAGGUCGCAGUCAGCAUUCCUCUCUAAAAGAUUUAUUUUAAUAAAAAUGGCUGUAAAGUGCUGACUUUGAGCUUCAGGCUGCAGAAUCACACAGGUGCACGGUGUUAAUAUAGAAAUUUAAAGUACUUCACUGCAGUAUUUCAAAGCAUUAUUGUACUUUUAGUCAAUGGGCACAAACUUCUUGGUAACUUCUAUUCUUAUAUACCCAAAUAAACACAAAACAACUGAACAAAUUACAGAAAAUAACUUUCGUUCAUAGAAAUUCCUUGAGGCUUCAAGCAGAGCGGUUCAGCAUCUGGACGUUGUAUUGCAGAUGCCUAAAGAUGAAUUGCAAUUGCCUUAAUUAUAUAAGAGAUGCUCUUUUUAGGAUUUACAAGAACAAGGAAAAAACCACAAGGAAUAUGUGCAAUUAGAUAAUCAUAACUUUUACCAAUAAGAUUGUAAUCACAGUGUUUUAUUAUUGUGCAGCUGUAGCAUUGAUCAGUUGCUCUUUCAUUCAUUUUCAGUUCUUUUUUGAGUGUUUAUUUAACUCCUUAAUUCUACACUUAUGAGUUAGUAAAACAUACACUCAACAUAACAUAAACACUCGAGGUUUAAGUCAGUGUUUUGUUUACAAGUAGCAGGCAACUUAGCAAAGAAUCUUCAGUUUUGUUCCAAAUAGUCUGUCACAGAAUCACAAUUUACUUGAGAAUUCACUUUCUUAAAAUACAGAGGUGACCAUGGUAUGACAGACAAGAUGUCACCCAAAAACUUGUCCUCAUAAUUAACUAAAAAUUAGUUUGUCCACUCCGCCGGUGAAGUGCGCAGCAACAGGGAGUGGGGAAGCAUGCAGUGCAAAUCCGGGUGAUAGGAAUCGUUGUGUUGGAUGAAGCAGUAACACCAAAAAGACCCUCACAAAGUAAUUUACAUUCAUCUUAUUGGCAACUGCAGGGCGUUGAGGCUUGACUGCAGCUCCCGGCAGCAUGUUUUUUACUCGCCCUAUGGAAUGAGGCCUCCAUCUCUGGCCAUAACGUUUAGCCCGUGAUUAGCUUUCCUCAUGUCUGCAGAGAUCAUGUUUAAAAUAUAAAAACAAAACAACACUCCAACAGCUUCACUCAGCAGUACAUAUAAAGAAAACACAAUAUCAUCAAAUUGAUCAUGGUAAUUAUUCGUGGCCAAAUAAGCAGUUCAACUGAAGAAACGGAUUUAGCUUAAAGCUAAAUAGUUCUAGACAGCACUACACUUCCUGUUUGCUCCAGAGAGGCUUUACAUUUUAGUUUAGUUUGUUUUGUUUGCAUUCACUGCCCCCUGAUUUAUUGUCACUCUGGGUAGUGAUUCAUCAUUGUUGAUGAAGAUCAGCAGAAGGAAGUUUUAGAAUUAAAGCGUUAGAAAGUGAAGAGUGGCUUGAAACACUGAACUGUUUUUUAUUAUUAUAUCUCAUUCAUGAUGAGAUUCUAUGACAUUAUUUAAGCAUCUUUUUUUGGGGGUUGAUUGGUGUUCAUUUAUCACCAUCAAACAUAAUCAAAUCUAUCCACUUUGAUUAUAUUUCUUUAGUGUGUGCAGAAAUAUAUUCAAAACCAAACAGACAAGACGGACAUCUGAAAGUAUUUUGUUGUCUUUUUUUGACCUUUCCAACUUGUAAAAAGUGGUACGAGUUAAAAAAAAGUGUUUCAGUGAGCGCUUACAUCACGGUGUGUUUCUGUGGUCACCCACUGUUUACAACAAUCUGCCACUGAGAUGAUAAAUACCAACAACGGGACGAGGAACGCAGAGCAGAGCGAAGCGGAGAGGUGAAUAAUGUAGAUGCAAAUAGUGCUCUUUGCAUCUCAAAUGACCAGCCCUCAGUCUUCACGACGUGUCAAUAAAUGCACAAUAAAUACGCCCCGCGUUCCCAAGCCAAAACACACUCGCAUCCUAAAAUACCGCGGCUCUGACGACUGAGAUAGAACCGCUCAUCAAAUUUAUGCGUGAGCGAACCCAGGCUAAAUUUACUGCCAAGCGAGCCAACUUACGCAAUCCCUCCCUGGUCUCCCUCCUGUCUGUUCGGUGGCUUCAGAGUCCUGCAUCUCAAAGUAUCCCAGCCCUCCCCAGGAUCCCACCCCCACAAUACACGCUACAACUUUGACACUAUUCCUGUAGCAGCACAAAAAUACCAGCACCUCCAAGAACAGACGCCGAGCCCGUCAGAGCAUCAUCACAUCCUACAUGGCAGCUGGGAGGGAGAGAGAGAGAGAAAAGGAAGCAGAGCAGGUGGAGAGAUGAGCACAACUGCUGUUGAGAAAUAAAGAAUCAACAGAGAAACUCAGGCUUUUCUGUUCGCAGCUUUUAAUCCAGGCAGAUCUGAUGCAAACUGUUUCUCUACGCUUUGAUCUGGAUCAGCUCUCCUCCUCUCAGACAGCUUGUGCAAAGCUUCUGAUUCACCUUUAAGACACAACGUAGAGUCACCUCAACACCAACUCAUAGAAAACUUUAAUAACGUUUAGGAAAUCUUCAGUUUAAUCCGCUACAUUAUUGGCAUAAAGUUGCAAAGGUGCAGUCAUAAGGAGGGACUCAUUAUACGACACAUAAAAUGAUUUUUUUUAAAAACGACUUGGGUGCACAUGUUUGAAUUUUUUGUUAAUCCCAAAGGUACAGCUUAGAAGGUCGAACCUUGAAUACUUUUGUUGAAUCAGUACGUCACAGGGUCUCCUCCCAGUGAGACCCAGAACACGCUGGAGGUGGAUGCACUUUUUUCUUUUUCUGCCGUAUUUCUUUCUGGAUAUUUGAUUCACUCUUUAUACCAGAGUUGGUCGAUUUAUUGUGAAUUAUGUUGAUUUACUGGCACAGUUUACAAAUUUCCAACUGAGUUGAGGAUGGAGUUUUGGGAAAUCAAUCCCAGCAUCUUAAUCUAAGCCAACUUCGUUUGUUUCAAAACAAGCACUGGUGUGUACACCUCCCUCAAGCUCUGACUACAUAAUGCUAUGUUCUUAAAGGGUGCGGGGGGGUUACGGAAAAUCGACUUUGUUUAUCUUUAUAUCUUGUUUUAAUGUGAUUUCCUCAUCAAAAACACAACUGGAGCACUUCUUUGAUUCUUUCAUAAAUGUUUGAGAAAUCCUUGAAUUUUCCCCUGGCAGCCAGUCAGGGUUAGCCAAGCGCUUGCUCCCACAAAGCACUGCUUUUUCCACAACGCCAUUCCUCACAGAUCUCCCCUCCCCAAUCAGCUCCUCCAGACUAGCGACAGCAGCAGCAAUUAGGAAACACCUGGUGGAACUGCUCAAGUGUGCUUGGCUUAUUAAAUGAACCACAAGCUCCUAAGAACAUAUGCAAACGGCAUAAUGAGAAGCAUUGUUGUGAUGAUGACCUGAAGGCGGAGAAGGCGGAAAGAGCUUCUUAAAGAGACAGAGACCCAAUUUCAAAGAGUCAAAAUGCAAAGUCAAACUUCUUUUAAGUUAUGUGUGAUACAAUAUUUUUUAUAGCAACUGGAGGUUAAUUGAUUGUGCUAUAAAAUUGCCUGGAAAUUUUAUAGCACGGUAUGGUUUAUAAUGCCCCUCUAAAUGCAAAAUACUGUCAAUGACUACAUUUGACACAGGAAAGGACAAACAUUAAGUUUAGUUAGAAGGUCUGAGUUUCUUUGAUUUAUGUAAAUAUUCAUUUACAUUAAUAUAUGCUUUCUUGUAUGACUUUUUAAAUGUUCCUCACUCCAAGUCCCAUUAUCACAUGACAAAAAAAUCUUUUGGAGAGUUUCAGUAUUUAAAAGUCAAACACAUGUGUUGGAUCUAAAGACAAAGUUCAACCGUAGGCGGUCCUAAAAGAGAAAACCUUUAGGGCUCUGCCCCACCUGUGUGGUCUACACACAGGUACAACUGUAUGUUCAAAAAGAAUGAACAGAUGUUGUGACUCCUUACAUUUCAACAUAGAGACAUUCAAUUUGUCCAGUUCUCCAGUUUAAGUCUCAGUACCUGUAAACCACAAAUGACAUCAGCUGCAGCUUCUUGCUGAUUGUCAGUAACCACGCUGACGGCAUACGGAGAACGAGGCUGCUGAAUGUUGAGAACAUCGGUGUGACUCUUGCGAUGUGACUCGCGUCGCUCAAAUAAUAGACGCUAGGAAACGAGGAGGAAGCCCAAGGCUCUGAGACCAACACAGGAAUCAGUGAAACAGGAGAAAGUGAAAAAGAGUGCAAAUCCCUGAAAAGACUCGUAAGACUCAGUGGGUUCUUUCUUUUCUCUCUUUCUCUCUCUUUUCUUGUUCUCCUCUCUCUCUCCAUCACAAUGUCGAUGGAUGGUUGCUGAGGGCAACCUGUGUGUACUCACCUAACGAUGAACAGGAAGUGCUGUGUGAGUGAAGCGGCUAUUUAUAGCAGCAUGUGUAGAAAGGACAUUGGCUCAUGGAUGUACCUGUGUGUGUUGGGGUGGGGGAGUGUGUGGGGGUGGGGGUGUGUGUAGAUGCAAGCACCUGUGAUUGUGCGUAUGACAGAAAGAGAGAGAGAGAGAGAGAAAGCAGCCAGUAUGUAACAGGGAGGAGGAGGAUGCAGAUUGUGAGACUCAGACGUUUACUAGAGAGAACAGGAGGGGAGGAUGAUGGUGGGGAGCUAAGGAUGGAUGGAGGGAGUGAGGGAAUGCAGUGGAGGAGGGGGCGAGUGUGUGUUGACGCUGUACGUGGCGUCAGCGCGAUAAGAAUAGAGAUGGUGCGUAUAGCUGAGACAUCACCCUCACACUCUCUGUAGGGCAGGUGGUACUCACUCCGAGAGUGUGUGUGUGUGUGAGUGUGUGUCGGUGGGUACAUGUGUGUACCCAGAUUUUUCUCAGAGUAUGUUGAUGUGGACAUGGAUGAGUAAACUGUUACACAGAUUUUUAAAAAUUAUUUAUUUAUUUGCCUGUUAUAUAAGCGCAGUUAUGUGACCAUGUUUUUCCACGUUUGGUUUAUAGGAACGCAUUUUAUUUAUGUAAAGGAAAUCUAAAGUGAUUAUGAUAUAGUAUUUAUUUUUUUAUUUUAACGCCCUCCCCUUCCACUUGAAAAUGUUCCUUUAAAUCACCACAAUACCAUUGCAGCUUGUCGCCCACGCUAGGAAAAAAAAGAAAAGAAAAUCACACAUAUUAGAAAAUAGUCUAAUAAAUGUCAGCUUUUUCUGAGUCAGCUUUUUAUCCGAGUAGUUUAAAAUUUAGAGAAAAAAAAUAACAUUUUGAAAUUGUUUUGUGGCACAAAAAAUAUGUUUUAUUGGCUUACUGCUGUAAUAUCAAAUUAGUUUAACAACUGAAAGACUUCACUGGAGUAAAUAUUCAAAUUAUUAAAUGAAGACUGGAAUAAGAGAAACAACUGUGUAGAUCCAUCUACUCUCUUAUAGAGCUCUUGGUUUCCUUGACACACAUUUACAUUCAGAUCAUUGAAUAAAUUUUAAUAUGGAAGAUAUUAAAAAUUUGCACCAAUGCAAACCUUUCUGGACCUUUGUUAA
This is a long non-coding RNA of Xiphophorus couchianus (Monterrey platyfish), 7247 nucleotides long. RefSeq lists it as uncharacterized. NCBI's taxonomy places the organism in Eukaryota, Metazoa, Chordata, Actinopteri, Cyprinodontiformes, Poeciliidae. The record is from RefSeq and is a predicted model, not a curated record. The transcript is spliced from 2 exons.